CAUCUAUUCUUCUUCAAGAUUUUCAAAUUCUACAACUUCAUAAUUGAUAGCAUUAUAUUGGCUAUCAUCUUCUUCAUCCUCGGACACUUCAUCAAUAAAGGUGGACCGGCUUGAACUUGCUACCCCUUUUCCCUUGAACCUUGAACUUGAAGAACUCGCUCUAAGUCCAUAGAUAUUCUCCUCAACUCCAACGGCCAUAGAAACGGUACCC
RNAcentral lists this long non-coding RNA (211 nucleotides) under Nicotiana benthamiana. RNAcentral's name for it is "long non-coding RNA (NBEN_LNC023722)". Lineage: Eukaryota; Viridiplantae; Streptophyta; Magnoliopsida; Solanales; Solanaceae. The record is from RNAcentral.